GCCGGAGUGGUGGAACUGGCAGACGCGCCGGACUCAAAAUCCGGUCCACGCAAGUGGGUGGGGGUUCAAGUCCCCCCUCCGGCA
RNAcentral lists this transfer RNA (84 nucleotides) under Candidatus Eiseniibacteriota bacterium. RNAcentral's name for it is "Candidatus Eisenbacteria bacterium tRNA-Leu". It matches the Rfam family "tRNA". From Rfam's summary of the family: Transfer RNA (tRNA) molecules are approximately 80 nucleotides in length. RNAcentral also lists the same sequence under 1 other name. Lineage: Bacteria; Candidatus Eiseniibacteriota. The record is from RNAcentral.